UGAUCAAAAGCUAUGCUGUCUAGCGUCAGAAAGAAGAAACGUUUGACAGUACCAUGAAAACAAUGUCCGAUCCAAUUUCGCUUGUUGAAUCGUUGAUACUCAAUUAAAACACUAACAAAUAAGGGCAAAUAACUUUGAUACUCACGUAAUAUUCAUCCCUGCAAAUUUGUAUCUCGUCUUCGCAGCAUUACACAUCACAACAGACGAAAUCCCCAAGGUUUCGAUGGCCAUUGAUGUUCGGCUGUUACUGGAGAUGCUGCCUAAUGAGGAGAUGGUGAAAGGUGUGUUUAAAGCUGUUGCUGCUGCUGUCCUUGGUGUCACAAUUCAGUGUGUUGUUCGUUAAUUUGUCUGGCAUGUCAAAUCUUUUCCAUCUUUGUAGUCACUUAAAUCUCAUCCAUGCAGUAUACAAUGGAGGCAAUGUGAUCUUACAUGAUCUAGGAGUGAUUCAAUCGACUACUGCUAGAUAAAAAAACUUUCUACGCCAAACAAAUAAUAACGCUGUGUUAUUAUCGCGGUUGGGAAAGCAUCAGGCCCCCUGCCAGCCAAUAAAAUUAUGGGUCUUUUAAUUUAAUUGGUUGGUGCAGUAU
This is a long non-coding RNA of Daphnia pulicaria, 587 nucleotides long. RefSeq lists it as uncharacterized. Lineage: Eukaryota; Metazoa; Arthropoda; Branchiopoda; Diplostraca; Daphniidae. The record is from RefSeq and is a predicted model, not a curated record. The transcript has 2 exons.